RNAcentral lists this ribosomal RNA (253 nucleotides) under uncultured bacterium. Its description in RNAcentral is "partial 16S ribosomal RNA". It matches the Rfam family "Bacterial small subunit ribosomal RNA", at positions 524 to 776 of the family's 1533-position model. The record is from RNAcentral.
UACGGAGGGUGCAAGCGUUAAUCGGAAUUACUGGGCGUAAAGCGUGCGCAGGCGGUUUGUUAAGUCUGCUGUGAAAUCCCCGAGCUCAACUUGGGAAUUGCAGUGGAUACUGGCAAGCUGGAGUACGGUAGAGGAAGGUGGAAUUCCCGGUGUAGCAGUGAAAUGCGUAGAGAUCCGGAAGAACACCGACGGCGAAGGCAGCGUCCUGGCCGAGCACUGACGCUCAGGCACGAAAGCGCGGGGAGCAAACAGG